RNAcentral lists this transfer RNA (35 nucleotides) under Zootoca vivipara (common lizard). RNAcentral's name for it is "partial tRNA-Ser". Lineage: Eukaryota; Metazoa; Chordata; Lepidosauria; Squamata; Lacertidae. The record is from RNAcentral.
AAGAAGCGUUUAAACAAUUAGAGCUGCUAACUCAA